Molecule: long non-coding RNA, 454 nt
Organism: Paramisgurnus dabryanus
Lineage: Eukaryota; Metazoa; Chordata; Actinopteri; Cypriniformes; Cobitidae
Source: RefSeq, a predicted model, not a curated record
UGUCACCCAGUUGGUUCAUUUACAAUAUGAGAUUGCUGACAUGAGCUUAUCUUGGAGUUUUGCCCAGUCUGUGUUAAUAUCACUUUAAUUUAUGGGCGUCGGAAGCAAAAACAAUGUGGUCAUGCAGCAGGCGAAAGUAUUGAAAACACGAAAUGUAGUUUAAUUUAUAUGGACUCUAAAUGAGUCAAGGGGAAUGGAUUUGAGGAAGCAGCAGGCUGAAGCUAAAACGCGGAACAGAGUUUAUUUUAUUAGGGGAUUCCUCGAGUGGAAUGGAUUUGACAGACGGCGCAAAGACAAGUGAACUAACAAAUGCGCUAAAUUUGAGAAAAGGUCCAUUACAAUGUAAGAUGAAAAGGCAUGUCUGGUUUAGCCCCACAGUCUCAGAAAAAGUUUAUAACAUUUAAUUAGAUUACAAGAUCUAUUUUUGAAGACAAUUAAAAUUCUAUAAUAAAUU